Girardinichthys multiradiatus is the source of this 437-nucleotide long non-coding RNA. RefSeq lists it as uncharacterized. NCBI's taxonomy places the organism in Eukaryota, Metazoa, Chordata, Actinopteri, Cyprinodontiformes, Goodeidae. The record is from RefSeq and is a predicted model, not a curated record. The transcript has 3 exons.
AAGCACAGAAAGGAGCAUCUCUGGCGCCCCUGUGUUGACUUUUGUGCCUGCAGCAUAGAGUAGCGCUCGUGGUCAUUGGAUUGUGCGUGCGUGGGACUUCCAAUGCGCGCAUGGAACGUAAUCCACGCGCUCCUGGAAUUAAAAUGAGCUGCUUAUGAUCUUCUUUAUUGCUCCUAUUGGAUUUUGGCGUGAAUUUGACGCCAUAGUUUCCACCUGCGCCGGUGUCGGCGUGGUCUUCGAUCGACUUUAUCCUUGAGUCCAGUUUUCAAGACAAGCUUUUUUCAGCUGUGACUUCCUGCUAAGAUGCAGGACAACCCACCGGCGCAUCGGAGUGCAUUGAAAGAGGAGUGGAAAUUUGCAGUAAACUGAAACUAUAACAAAUGUUUCCUGAGAAAUUCCAUCAGAUUUGUUUCAGCCAAAACAAAACUAACCUGGGU